Molecule: long non-coding RNA, 1090 nt
Organism: Clupea harengus (Atlantic herring)
Lineage: Eukaryota; Metazoa; Chordata; Actinopteri; Clupeiformes; Clupeidae
Source: Ensembl
CUGACGUGGUGCAUGCAAAUUGUAGUUAUACAAGGAUACCAAGGGAGGCAGGAUUCACGACUGGUUGGCGACAGCUGCAACACACGCUGCAUGGUGUACCUGGGAUCCGUAUCAGUCGGUGUUGGCUGACUUGGUGCAUGUGUACUCCUGCACUCCUGCCAAACACAACAACAUGGCUGACAAGAAGUAUGAAGAAUGUUGCAACAGGUGUCGGGUUAUUGAUGCAUUAUUCAUGACUAUGAUGCACUAAAGAGGAAUGUCUUUAGUGUAGAUUUAGAGAUGGAAAGGGUGUCUUCUUCUCAUAUGGAGGCAGGAAGAUUAUUCCACAGGAGGGGAGGCUUGAUAGCAGAAGGCUCUGCCUCCUACUGUGCUUUUUCAUAUUGAAGGAGACCUGCACUCUGUGAAUUAAGUGGUCUUGGUGGGCAGUAGGGGACGACUAAUUCCUUGAGGUAAUUUGGAGCUUAGCCAUUUAGGGCUUUGUACAUUAGAAGAAGUACUUUGAAAUCAAUUGUACUUUUGACAGGGACCCAGUGCAGGGAGACAAGUGCAGGUGAGAUAUGUUCAUAUUUUUUUGUUUUAGUAAGUGUAUAAUUUGGAGGCUCUUUAUUCAGUUGUUGCUCCGUACAGAAGGGCAUUGUAGUAGUCUCGCAACUUAAUAAAAGCAUGGAUUAGUUUUUCUGCAUCUUGGAAUGAUAGGACUUUUCUGAUUUUGGCAAUAGAUGAAAGAUGAAAAUAUUUCUUUGAGGUCUGUUUUAUGUGUGAGUCAAGUAGGAGGUCUUGGUUGAUAAUUACACUGAGAUUUUUGGUGCAAGUGUUGGAUGUUAAUGAGAUGCCAUCGAGUGUGGGUAGAUGGCUAGAUAAUGUCAUUACAUUUUUUUAGGGCCUACAAGCAUAACCUCAGUUUUAUCUAAAUUAAGGAGCAGGAAGUUGUACAACUUUCUAGUUGUACAAUUUUGUCAGGUUUCAUGCAUAAGUAAAGUUUGGAUAUAGGCGUAUCGUUAGCCAUGUUAUCAGAAUCAAGGUUAGGUUUUUUGAGAGAUUUGAUCACUGCUAAUUUGAAUGAUUGUGGAACGUAUCCUAAAAUGAGUGA